This 496-nucleotide ribosomal RNA is filed under the name uncultured bacterium. RNAcentral describes it as "partial 16S ribosomal RNA". It matches the Rfam family "Bacterial small subunit ribosomal RNA", at positions 29 to 507 of the family's 1533-position model. The record is from RNAcentral.
AUGCACGCUGGCGGCGUGCCUCAUCCCUGCAAGUCGCGCGAACGGACGAGAAGCUUGCUUCUCUGAUGUUAGCGGCGGACGGGUGAGUAACACGUGGAUAACCUACCUAUAAGACUGGGAUAACUUCGGGAAACCGUAGCUAAUACCGGAUAAUAUUUUGAACCGCAUGGUUCAAAAGUGAAAGACGGUCUUGCUGUCACUUAUAGAUGGAUCCGCGCUGCAUUAGCUAGUUGGUAAGGUAACGGCUUACCAAGGCAACGAUGCAUAGCCGACCUGAGAGGGUGAUCGGCCACACUGGAACUGAGACACGGUCCAGACUCCUACGGGAGGCAGCAUUAGGGAAUCUUCCGCAAUGGGCGAAAGCCUGACGGAGCAACGCCGCGUGAGUGAUGAAGGUCUUCGGAUCGUAAAACUCUGUUAUUAGGGAAGAACAUAUGUGUAAGUAACUGUGCACAUCUUGACGGUACCUAAUCAGAAAGCCACGGCUAACUACGUG